CCCUUAGAUGUCCGGGGCUGCACGCGCGCUACACUGUAGAAAGCAGCGUGCUUUAAAACCUUUCCUGAAAAGGAUGGGUAACCCCAGCAAAAUUCUACGUGCUUGGGAUAGAGAUUUGCAAUUUUCUCUCUUGAACGAGGAUUGCCUUGUAAGCGCAUGUCAUCAGCAUGCAUUGAAUACGACCCUGUAUUCUGUACACACCGCCCGUCGCUCCUACCGAUUGAAGUUUUCGGUGAGCUGGCAGGAGGAAUUUUUUGAAACUGGUUCGCUAGUGGAUUUUAGUUCCAAAUGCCAACGAAUCGAUGGCUUUAGAGGAAGGAGAAGUCGUAACA
RNAcentral lists this ribosomal RNA (332 nucleotides) under uncultured eukaryote. RNAcentral describes it as "partial 18S ribosomal RNA". It matches the Rfam family "Eukaryotic small subunit ribosomal RNA", at positions 1470 to 1796 of the family's 1831-position model. The record is from RNAcentral.